CAUUUUUACAAAACACGGGAAACACUCUCAUUUCUAUUUCUCUUUACCACCGCAUAUCCCGCUCUCGCAUAUCCUCUCUCUCAUGCCCAUUCUCACCACCUGUUCCGGCUGAAAUUGGUUCGGCUCCAUUGCUGGGUAAGGUGCAGCAGAAGCAGACGAUGUUGACCCAUGUGGUCCGCCACCAUGGAUUGACGUGAUAGCGUCGAAAUUUUGAAGAAAUCAAUCUAGGUCAAUUGGGGAUCGCGAAUGGCGAUUUUUCUGGAAUCGGGAUUCAAAUCUGCUGCUAAAUCUUAUACAAUGUGGGAGCAGUUUCUUCUGUCGGAUUAUCAAGAUAUUAUUGCAAAUUGCAAAUUGCAAAUUGCAAAAUCUGCCCCCAAAGCUUUGGCUAUAGCUUCUCUACUCCACACUGUCUACUCAAUACGCUCAUCUUCCAACACGCUUCGAGCUCCAACGCUUGCUGAUCUGCCCAUUUCUCUUUCUUUCAACAGUUUGGGUUUGGGAUUGGGAAUUGUGUGCAGUAAGAGCAAGGGCACCAGAUAAGGCACCGGCUGAGAGUAGCAUUAAUUAGAUUCUUGGAAUCAAAGGAGCUAAGCAAGUUUAAUUGAAUAACAUUUUUUUAGGUAAGAGUAUGUAGUUAUAUACUUAAGUACGAAAUAGGUAAUUGAAUAACAUUUUUUUGAUAAAUCUAUGUUCUGCUUGCUUCAGUGGAGAGGUUGCCUUCGUGAAUGAUGUUCUAUUAAAAGCAAAGCAAAUCGAACUAGAUUUACCUGUUCCAAACUCGAGAAGUAUAGUAUAUUCUUUCUUAUAACGUGUGGUCAUCUGAGGCUUUAAACAAAUCUUGAGUGUGUAAAUAAUAGUUCAGCGAUUUUCACUACUUUAACUUUGGUUUACCAUUGCAUUGUAAUAAGAAUUUUCCUCUUGAGUUGAAAGUCGAUAGGGUUAGAUUGUAGUAAACAACCUUGUUAAUGUCUUUGUAAUCUUUGUUUUUGUACCUCUUGCAUGACUAUCUGUUUCGCGCGGG
This 1021-nucleotide long non-coding RNA is filed under the name Olea europaea subsp. europaea. The record is from RNAcentral. Lineage: Eukaryota; Viridiplantae; Streptophyta; Magnoliopsida; Lamiales; Oleaceae.